RNAcentral lists this ribosomal RNA (492 nucleotides) under uncultured bacterium. RNAcentral describes it as "partial 16S ribosomal RNA". It matches the Rfam family "Bacterial small subunit ribosomal RNA", at positions 29 to 507 of the family's 1533-position model. The record is from RNAcentral.
AGUGAACGCUGGCGGUAGGCCUAACACAUGCAAGUCGAACGGCAGCACAGUAAGAGCUUGCUCUUACGGGUGGCGAGUGGCGGACGGGUGAGGAAUACAUCGGAAUCUACUUUUUCGUGGGGGAUAACGUAGGGAAACUUACGCUAAUACCGCAUACGACCUACGGGUGAAAGCAGGGGAUCUUCGGACCUUGCGCGAUUGAAUGAGCCGAUGUCGGAUUAGCUAGUUGGCGGGGUAAAGGCCCACCAAGGCGACGAUCCGUAGCUGGUCUGAGAGGAUGAUCAGCCACACUGGAACUGAGACACGGUCCAGACUCCUACGGGAGGCAGCAGUGGGGAAUAUUGGACAAUGGGCGCAAGCCUGAUCCAGCCAUACCGCGUGGGUGAAGAAGGCCUUCGGGUUGUAAAGCCCUUUUGUUAGGAAAGAAAAGCAGCAGGCUAAUACCCCGCUGUUCUGACGGUACCCAAAGAAUAAGCACCGGCUAACUUCGUG